GCAUGGACGAAUUCUGUUUUACUCUUUAAAUAGUAAAUGCAGUCAGACACCAUGCAAAAGUAUUGUUUCACACACUGACUUAGCAGGAUAAGAAUGCUAACUAUGGUUCUUAUUCUAAUGUCAUAGUGAAUACAGAA
Molecule: small nucleolar RNA, 137 nt
Organism: Eleginops maclovinus (Patagonian blennie)
Lineage: Eukaryota; Metazoa; Chordata; Actinopteri; Perciformes; Eleginopidae
Product: small nucleolar RNA SNORA15
Exons: 1
Source: RefSeq, a predicted model, not a curated record